Molecule: long non-coding RNA, 291 nt
Organism: Sipha flava (yellow sugarcane aphid)
Lineage: Eukaryota; Metazoa; Arthropoda; Insecta; Hemiptera; Aphididae
Exons: 3
Source: RefSeq, a predicted model, not a curated record
UAUAAUCACACCAUGUCGCCUCACGUUUCGCGGUAACCUUGUUCUUAUAUAAAGGUACCCGAGAUCCUAAUUCCGGCAUAACACAUUUUUUUGUAAAUCAUUACUUUGUCUACACCUCGCUUUCUAAAAAACCAACAAAAAACCAAAAAUGGGCGCAGAAAAAAUAUCCAUGAACAUCGUUGUCGUCGGACAAGUCAAAUCUGCCAAGGUCAUCAAGACCGUCGCCAAAGCUGCACCAAAAAUGAGCCCACUGACAAAUUGCUAACUCGUGUAAUCCAUAAUAUGUAAAUU